RNAcentral lists this non-coding RNA (29 nucleotides) under Rattus norvegicus (Norway rat). Lineage: Eukaryota; Metazoa; Chordata; Mammalia; Rodentia; Muridae. The record is from RNAcentral.
UCCAAACAAGUCACUCAGGGUUGAGGAGA